RNAcentral lists this long non-coding RNA (2979 nucleotides) under Heterocephalus glaber (naked mole-rat). RNAcentral's name for it is "lncRNA (ENSHGLG00100049249.1)". Lineage: Eukaryota; Metazoa; Chordata; Mammalia; Rodentia; Bathyergidae. The record is from RNAcentral.
CUCCCCUCGGCGGGACUGAAUGAUCAAAACUGGUGGUGAGAAUUUUUCCGGACCGUUUCUAGGCAUCCGCUCUCAAGACGCGUUCCAGCCGACAAAAUUCUCCCCCUUCAUUAUAAAGCCAAAGGACAGGCCAACCUUGAGCCCGGCUGUGUCCCCUGCCGCGCCUUUGUCGGCGCUGAGGCCUGCGAAUGUUGGCUGGUCCUCCGAUUCCUGGAGCACAAGUCGGCCUCAGUUCUCCCCACGGCACGGUCGAACCUGGUUCUUCCAGAACCUUGGUGUUGCUGGCCGCGUGGAUACAUCUUCCCCGUUUUCUCAGCAAGGGUAAGGGGACAGCUAGCAUUCUUUCCAAGGCAUGGAAGUCCAAGUCACCCCAUCGGUUGCCCCGAACCGCCUUUCUCCGAUCGGAGCCCCCGAACUACACCAGCGUCUAAGGUAGUGAAGGGGAUGCCGAGGAUGGCGAGCUCCAAAGGCCGUGGGCAGUUCUAGGCAAGAGUUUCCGCAGGGUCGAACAACCAGGGAGCUCCCUGCCCGGGCGCCGCUAAAACCCGGAGAGGCCGCGCCCGGCACAGCCAUCCUCGCUGCAACUGGACCAGGUGCGGCUCAGCCAGCCCAGUCGAGAGCCAUGAGGACUCACCAGGAAGGCCAGAGACGCGGUGCCAGCGCCCCGCUCGCCACCAGAACCCUGGUGCACGGCUAGGAGAGCCCGGGCCGUUGCGCCAGGCCGGGCCUCGAAGGAUUCCUCCGACUCCUCUCGGCCCCGCCUACGACCCUGGCCUCUUCCUCCGGCCCGGGUCGGGUCUUCCACUCCACUGUUUGGCUCGAAGAGGACGGAGAAGCGCUCAGUGCGCUGGGGGCCGGCCACGGCCAUAAAUCUCCCUCACCAGCCCUCCUUCCGCUGCUCACUGGCGGGUGUUCCAGCCUGGCCACUCGUCCCCGGCCGCCAGGUACCCUGCUCUCCCGGUCACUACGCUGGAAAUCACUGUCAGGAGCUUCCCCGUUCGCCAAAAAGAGGGAGUCGCCUCGCCCAUUCGGUGCCACCACCAGCCAUCCCCUCGAGUGCCGGACCCCGAGGCGGCCUGGGCCUCACGGAUCACCGCCCUGGGUAGGGGCGUGCGGGGGCCAGGUGAAGGCCUGCUGAGGUUUGAAUGGGUGCGCAGCUAUCCGAGCCACCGAGGGGCGACGCCUAGGUCAGGAACAGUGGCUUCUCAGCUGGUCACCUCAACGGACCCUGCCUUAGUCCCGCGCCCUUGGAUCCCUCUUCGCUCGCCACGGGUUCCCCAGCUUGGCGACCCUUGUUUGACGCCCUACCCUCUUGGCACAAAUAACCAAACCAUUGGGAAAACAGGAAUCUGUCGCUUGCAGGUCGAAGGCUAGGCGGGGCGCUGGUUUUUCCACCCUAACAGUCGGGAGGAAGUUGUUGGGAAGAUCUGCAGUAGUAACGACUAAUGUUAUGGGCAUUGUCUGUCUUCUUUGACAGAGGGGCCCGCAGACCUCUCUGCUGGUCCCUGCUUCAGCCAAGCAAGUGGAGGUACUCAGUGGGGACUAACCACCACGAAAGGGGCCGUGGGACGCUGGGUGGGGACAGUUGCGGAGGGGUUGACAAUGCACCUUCUUGGGUGCCUCCCCAAAACCUCACAUGGUGCCAGUGACACAAUUCCGAGCGGGUGACAGAGGAGGCCGGGUGCAGGGGCUUUUGAAACUGGGCCCCGAGGUCGCUCUCACUCAAGGAGCUCCAGCUCCCUCAAAUUUCCAAAAGCACAGUUGGAGGGACCGAGGGCUUCCGGCAGCCAGGCGCGCAGGAAUUUGCGCGCUGGCCCCAGCGACGCCCGGGAGCGCAGAGGCUGCCCAGCCACAUUCCGGCGAACCGCCCCAGCGAGGCCCCAGCCCAGGAAGCGGCUCGGAAAACAAAGCGCUGUGGUCUCAGCCCAAGGUUAAAGUCCACCGCCAGCGCUUUUUCCCCCGGAAUCUGAGAGCGAUAGCGUUUCUCCAAAUAAACCGCCAAUAAAUCAGCUCCCGGGCCGAGCCAACUGAAGAGCUCUGGUGACCUUGGGGAAUACUUCCUGCCUGCCAGACCCAGCAGAGGACAGGCGUGGGGGAGGGGGCCAAUGUCAGCCCGUUCCCCCCCACCCCCCCAAGAAGAGAGGUGUGCCAAGGACAUUUGUGGGUGUUUAUUAGGGUGUGCGUGCCCAGAGGGGAUGGGCGAGGUUUGGAGCAAGGUUUGGGAAGCCCUGGUUAUUUGGGGACCUCAGUGCGCGGUUGUAAGGAGGUUUGUGAUGCUGGGGGCUGCUUCGGAAAGGCUGACCGAUGAGGGCCUCCAGAGCCACACGGUGCUAGUCCCUGGGGACCCAGCCCCGGACACUCUGGGCCCCUUCGGGGGCCCUGGUCUUUGUCUGGGUGUGACAGGGUGUGUUCGGCUUCGAGCUUGUGUAGAGUGUGACUAAUGGGAUUUAUGGAUGUCAGUGCCAGGGUGACUAAUGGAGGCUUGGCAGCACGUGCUUUUGGCGAGGGCCACUGCACCUAGGUGGGGACCCAGUGCCCCAGGAGGGGGCUGCUGGGUCUCAGAAGCCCCCUCCCCUCCCCCACUAGCUCCCAGCUUGGUCUGCGGCCCCUCCACACACGCCCUGGCAGGCCAGUGCAUGCUGCAGCGCUCCCCGACACAUCCCUCUGCGGCCUGGCCCCCAGAGGCCCUCCAGGCCUCCCAUCUCUCUGACCCGUGUGGUUGGUGCCUCCAGAUCCUGGCCUUCCCACCACCUUGGCAGAGCCCUCCAAUCCGCCUCUCUUUCAUCCUGAAAACUCCCUACACGCACAUUGUACAAGCCCCUUCGGGCUCAGCCCUGGGAUGUGGGUACCAUUCUAUCCAUUCAGUGGCUGCUACACCUUCAGGGUGGGCAGGAAAAGUGACAGACUCAUAGCUAGCAGGGCUGACCUCACCAGGCAGGGUGCUGGGGAGAACAUGCCUUCUUUUUUUGUUGAUUUGGG